ACUUAAGUCGCACGCAGAGGAAGCGUGCUGGGCCCAUAACCCAGAGGUCGAUGGAUCGAAACCAUCCUCUGGUA
RNAcentral lists this transfer RNA (74 nucleotides) under Lepisosteus oculatus (spotted gar). It matches the Rfam family "tRNA". From Rfam's summary of the family: Transfer RNA (tRNA) molecules are approximately 80 nucleotides in length. Their secondary structure includes four short double-helical elements and three loops (D, anti-codon, and T loops). Lineage: Eukaryota; Metazoa; Chordata; Actinopteri; Semionotiformes; Lepisosteidae. The record is from Rfam by way of RNAcentral.